RNAcentral lists this ribosomal RNA (497 nucleotides) under uncultured bacterium. RNAcentral describes it as "partial 16S ribosomal RNA". It matches the Rfam family "Bacterial small subunit ribosomal RNA", at positions 28 to 507 of the family's 1533-position model. The record is from RNAcentral.
GAUGAACGCUGGCGGCGUGCCUAAUACAUGCAAGUCGAGCGAACGGACGAGAAGCUUGCUCUUCUGAUGUUAGCGGCGGACGGGUGAGUAACACGUGGAUAACCUACCUAUAAGACUGGGAUAACUACGGGAAACCGGAGCUAAUACCGGAUAAUAUUUUGAACCGCAUGGUUCAAAAGUGAAAGACGGUCUUGCUGUCACUUAUAGAUGGAUCCGCGCUGCAUUAGCUAGUUGGUAAGGUAACGGCUUACCAAGGCAACGAUGCAUAGCCGACCUGAGAGGGUGAUCGGCCACACGGGAACUGAGACACAGUCCAGACUCCUACGGGAAGCAGCAGUAGGGAAUCUUCCGCAAUGGGCGAAAGCCUGACGGAGCAACGCCGCGUGAGUGAUGAAGGUCUUCGGAUCGUAAAGCUCUGUUAUUAGGGAAGAACAAAUGUGUAAGUACCUGUGCACAUCUUGACGGUACCUAAUCAGAAAGCCCCGGCUAACUACGUG